GUUAUAUGGUCAAGUGAAGAAGCGCAUACGGUGGAUGCCUUGGCAGUCAGAGGCGAUGAAAGACGUGGUAGCCUGCGAAAAGCUUCGGGGAGUCGGCAAACAGACUUUGAUCCGGAGAUGUCUGAAUGGGGGAACCCAGCCAUCACAAGAUGGUUAUCUUGUACUGAAUACAUAGGUGCAAGAGGCGAACCAGGGGAACUGAAACAUCU
RNAcentral lists this ribosomal RNA (209 nucleotides) under Pseudomonas fluorescens. RNAcentral's name for it is "partial 23S ribosomal RNA". It matches the Rfam family "Bacterial large subunit ribosomal RNA", at positions 1 to 203 of the family's 2925-position model. The record is from RNAcentral. Lineage: Bacteria; Pseudomonadati; Pseudomonadota; Gammaproteobacteria; Pseudomonadales; Pseudomonadaceae.